UGCGCAGGCGGCCAAGUGUGUCGGAGGUGAAAUCUUGCAGCUUAACUGUAAAAUUGCCUUCGAAACUACUUGGCUAGAGUAUCGGAGAGGAUGGCGGAAUUCCAGGUGUAGCAGUGAAAUGCGUAGAUAUCUGGAGGAACACCAAUGGCGAAGGCAGCUAUCUGGACGAUUACUGACGCUCAGGCACGAAAGCAUGGGGAGCGAAAG
This 207-nucleotide ribosomal RNA is filed under the name uncultured bacterium. Its description in RNAcentral is "partial 16S ribosomal RNA". It matches the Rfam family "Bacterial small subunit ribosomal RNA", at positions 568 to 774 of the family's 1533-position model. The record is from RNAcentral.